AUAACCUUAGCCCAAGUGCAACCCUCGUGAAAUUCGUGUUAACCAAAAACCUAACCUUGCUACGCCAUUUUUGGCUCGUGUCUGUCUCUCGUCUGCCCCGUCACCUUGGCCAGAUUCGCGUGGACUUUGACACUGGGACGGGACAGUGGCGCGACGCCGCGCGUCGCGUCGCCUCGCGGUCCUGUAGAGUAGAAACCAACUGACUUGGAUCGUGGAAAGAGCCCCACCAUCGGCGUGGGCUCGCAGGCCCACGGCACACGACUGACAGUUCCCAGUCAGCUGAUCGUCCACCGGGGGGGUAAGGGGGCAGAGCAGCAGCAGCAGCAGCAGUAGCAGCAGCAGUAAAGUAGUAGUAGUAGUAGUAGCAGCACGACCAGCAGCAGGAGGUGGUGGAGGUGGCGGAGGAGGAAGGUAGAGGAGGGGGGUGUGGAGAAGAAGGGAAGGAGGGCAGAGGGGUUGGCGACGCGCAGUCUGCCGUCGUCGUCGGGAUCAGCUGAUCGGUGGAGGUGUACUGGUAACUGACUGACUGUGAACUCUGAAUGAACGAACGGAUGAAGAAGUCUUCGCGUGCGUACACGUAUAGGGAGAGCUCUCGCCGGUGCCUCUCCCGGGGGAGGGGGAGAGAGCGAGCGCGUAUGCGCGCCUGCCUGCCUAACUAUGCGCCAGAGAGCACUCGCGGGCACAAGCGUUUAGUAGCAAACGGAAAUAGUGGCCCGGACACGGGAUAGCCAGGAUCAUCUCCGCGCUUUCCAACACCGCCGAGGAGGAGCGUAAAAAUUGAGGAAACAAACGCUUGGAAAAUCGAGAUCCAAACUUAGCUAGAUUGAGUGGAAUUCGACUCGACCGAGCAAUUUCUUUUGUUGUUGUCGUCCGAGGCGCACGAGACGGACGAUGAAGAGAGAAAGAGGGUCGACAGUCAAAAUAAACUUAUCCUUGAGUUUCAGCACGCGUUAAGGGGGGAAUCCCUGUGUCUUUAGAAGUAAGCAGUGCGCAGUUAUAUACAGUAGUUGUACAAGUAGUAUUGCUGGUACUUGGUUUCCAAGCGUGAUAAACGUUUGGUUCACGUUUGGAUGGAAUAUAGAGGAACGGAAAGAAACAAUUUAGAUUAAGGGCACGUAAGAUAGAGGAAUAUAGUAAUGGAGAAAUUAGUGAUAUUAAUUUUUGAAUAUUUAACGAAUAUUAAAAACUAGAUCUAAUUUUUUUUUCUAAUUUAUCGAAACCUUGCGAUUGGUUAAAGGAUAUCAAACUUUUAUUUUUUGUUCAUCGAUAGAUCGUAACUUUUAUAGUUAUUCGAUUAAAUUCGUUCGUCAGCCGAUAGUAUCGAGAAGAUCGAUAUGAAAUUGCGUAAUACGCCAUUAAACAUACGCGUAUCAUAUUCGUCCGCGAAAAUAGAUAGAAAAGAAUUCGUGUCGAAUGCGGAACAUGAUAACGAUCCGAUCAAAAUAAAAUUUUACGUAAUUCUUGUUAAAUCGUACAUUGUUUCAAGCGCGAAAAAUCGAAUCUAUGUUUACACGAUAUUUUUUUUUUAUUCAUUUCACA
Apis florea (little honeybee) is the source of this 1539-nucleotide long non-coding RNA. The record is from RefSeq and is a predicted model, not a curated record. NCBI's taxonomy places the organism in Eukaryota, Metazoa, Arthropoda, Insecta, Hymenoptera, Apidae.